This 459-nucleotide ribosomal RNA is filed under the name uncultured bacterium. RNAcentral's name for it is "partial 16S ribosomal RNA". It matches the Rfam family "Bacterial small subunit ribosomal RNA", at positions 338 to 795 of the family's 1533-position model. The record is from RNAcentral.
CCUACGGGAGGCAGCAGUGAGGAAUAUUGGUCAAUGGCCGAGAGGCUGAACCAGCCAAGUCGCGUGAGGGAAGACGGCCCUACGGGUUGUAAACCUCUUUUGCCGGGGAGCAAAGAGCGGCACGUGUGACUCACUGAGAGUACCCGAAGAAAAAGCAGCGGCUAACCCCGUGCCAGGAGCCGCGGUAAUACGGAGGAUGCGAGCGUUAUCUGGAUUUAGUGGGAUUAAAGGGUGCGCAGGCGGGGAUGCAAGUCAGCGGUCAAAUUGCGGGGCUCAACCCCGUACUGCCGUUGAAACUGCAUCCCUUGAGUGCGCGAGAAGUAUGCGGAAUGCGUGGUGUAGCGGUGAAAUGCAUAGAUAUCACGCAGAACUCCGAUUGCGAAGGCAGCAUACCGGCGCGCAACUGACGCUGAUGCACGAAAGCGUGGGUAUCGAACAGGAUUAGAUACCCGAGUAGUC